This 1532-nucleotide long non-coding RNA is filed under the name Zonotrichia albicollis (white-throated sparrow). RNAcentral's name for it is "lncRNA (ENSZALG00000008841.1)". Lineage: Eukaryota; Metazoa; Chordata; Aves; Passeriformes; Passerellidae. The record is from RNAcentral.
UUUCCAUCUCCCCAUGGAACAGUCCCAUGAGCUGUGAGCUCAGUGGGUUUUACACUGACCCCUUUGAGAGCUGACAGCAGAGUGUCAGUGCGUGGAAAUGAUGCUUAUGAUGUUGAAAUCUAUCACAAUCUGUGUUUUGAAGGUGUGACAUGGGUGUUGGCCAUAACUCCAGACCAAUAUUGCCAAUUUCAGCCUUUGGUAACAGAUCUGGAUGAUGCUCGAGGCUCCUGCAAUGUGUUUUAUCCUGCUCCAAAAAUUCCAACCCAGGAUGCCAUUUGCAUGGCUGAUCCCAGUGCUCAGCCUAGGGAAGGCAGAUUUAUGCCCCACGCUCUCCAUCUCUUCCUUUUCCUGCACCUGCAGGGAUGUGAUCCCAUUUUUCCCUGAGAAAAUUCCUCUUUCAGGAGCUCCACCUCCCACCAGGAGCUUCAUGCUCCUAGAUAAAUGUGUUGCAGACCCACAGUCUCUUUUAUUUUCCUAAACGACACAAUUGCAGCCCUUUGGACGCCUCCUCAAGCUGGUGAAAUUCCUCAUUUUCUGUUCUUUUUGUCAGUUUUAAAAAAAGAGCUGGAGAACCUCAUGCAGAGCAGGAGGCUCCUCAAACCCAGAGCAAGCAAGGCAACAGCCCAGGAGUCCCAGUUCUGCAAGGAGCUGAAGGAUUUAAUUCAGAAAUAUGAAGGGGAUCUCUCCCAGCUGUCAAAAAGAUGUGAGGAAAUGAAGAAGCUUUAUAGCAAUGUACUGGUGAGGUUUGGGGAGCCGGCAGAGCUGGACUCCCAGGAGCUCUUUGGGUGGAUCUCCUCCUUCAUCUGUGACUUCAGGAAGGCGUGUGCUGAGCUCACACCCUGAGGACACACAUCUCAUGGGGAAGGAGGAGCCCAGGAAUCAAUUUUUAAUUGUUUCAUUCUUUUUUUUAUCAUUUUCUGAUAAGCAGCACCUUGCCAAGCUCACCUGUGCAGCACAACACCUUGAUUUUGAGAGACAUUCAAUUCCAAAUAUGCAAUUUUUAUGUGGUAUUUGACCUGUAAUAUCCCAGAUCACUGAUGAGCCUCUCAGUUUUGUGCUUUUGUAACUUGAGAUUCCCAUGUAUUGAAAAAACCCCACUUCUGACCUUUUAUAAUUUCUCUUUUCAGUCUUUUCCUUUGAAUACCCCCAUUUUCUGACCCAGUUUUAAUUGUUAUCUUCAUUAUUCUGUAUGGUGAUCUAAUUUCUAAAUUUCUAAUUUCUAAAUAAUACUUCACAAAUUUUUAUAACAAAACGGGAAGCUGUUACCCACAGAGGAGAAUAUUUAAACAAAGUCUUGUUUAUUUUGCUAUUAAAACAUUGCAAAUUUACUAUGUAAUGAAGUAUCUGGCUGAGUGUUUUAUUUUGCCUUGUCCUCACUAAGCAGGACAAAAAAAUAGCACUUUAUUUUUUUUUUUUUUAUCAAAUGUCAUGUGUUUGCCACAAAUGCUACAGAAAUUAAUCAAUAUAUAUAAGAUUUGCAUUGGUAGGAAGGGAAAAAUGUCAGAGCAGCAAAAUAAAAAACUGUCGUGAAG